RNAcentral lists this transfer RNA (73 nucleotides) under Marmota monax (woodchuck). RNAcentral's name for it is "tRNA.Ala". It matches the Rfam family "tRNA". Rfam says of the family: Transfer RNA (tRNA) molecules are approximately 80 nucleotides in length. Their secondary structure includes four short double-helical elements and three loops (D, anti-codon, and T loops). Further hydrogen bonds mediate the characteristic L-shaped molecular structure. tRNAs have two regions of fundamental functional importance: the anti-codon, which is responsible for specific mRNA codon recognition, and the 3' end, to which the tRNAs corresponding amino acid is attached (by aminoacyl-tRNA synthetases). tRNAs cope with the degeneracy of the genetic code in two manners: having more than one tRNA (with a specific anti-codon) for a particular amino acid; and 'wobble' base-pairing, i.e. permitting non-standard base-pairing at the 3rd anti-codon position. Lineage: Eukaryota; Metazoa; Chordata; Mammalia; Rodentia; Sciuridae. The record is from RNAcentral.
UGGGGUUGUAGCUUAGUGGCAGAGCACUUGCCUCGCAUGUAUGGGACACUGGGUUUGAUUCUCAGCACCACAA